This 200-nucleotide unclassified non-coding RNA is filed under the name soil metagenome. RNAcentral's name for it is "partial contains internal transcribed spacer 2 and large subunit ribosomal RNA". The record is from RNAcentral.
GAUUGUGGAGGUUGCUGGUUCUUGCAAAUCAGCUCUUCUUAAAUAUAUUAGCAGUCCUUUGCUGACGAUCAUUGGUAUGAUAAUUAUCUAUAUCAUUGAGAAACAGCCUCCCUAGUGGAGAGGUUCCGCUUCUAAUCGUCUUUAUAAGACAACUUGACAACUUUGACCUCAAAUCAGGUAGGACUACCCGCUGAACUUAA